Molecule: long non-coding RNA, 514 nt
Organism: Suricata suricatta (meerkat)
Lineage: Eukaryota; Metazoa; Chordata; Mammalia; Carnivora; Herpestidae
Exons: 3
Source: RefSeq, a predicted model, not a curated record
CCAAGCUUAGUUCUGGGGAAAUUAAUUCUUUUUGGUCUCUGACCUUAAAGAUCUCAUAAUCUACUGAGAAAGACUGUGUAAUAGAUGGAUAUCAAAUGACAAAUGUCUAGUGGCUGUGCAGAAGAUUUCCAUUCCUGGUCCUCGAUGUUCCACAUUUUCAUUAACGACCCAGAAGAGACCACCUGUGCUGAGUAUCGUGCCCUUAUGCCUCCAGGAGAAAGGACCCGAAGCAGCUGUGGAGAGGCCGAGUGUAGGGAAGAAUUGAGACCUCCUGUCAACAGUGAACACCCACUUCCCAGUCAUAUGAGGGAUUCUUGGAAGACCACUUGGAAGUGGGUCUUUGGCUGUGUCUUGGAAGCAGACCCGUAGCCUCUGACAAGUCCUCAGAUGCCUACAGCCCUGGCUGACAUCUUAACUGCAACUUCUGAGUAGGCCUUGACCCAAAACUUCCAGCUAUGCUCGAAUUUAUGACCCACAGAUACUGUGGGAAAUAUAAAUGUUUAUUGUUCUUUUA